Molecule: non-coding RNA, 29 nt
Filed under: Mus musculus (house mouse)
Lineage: Eukaryota; Metazoa; Chordata; Mammalia; Rodentia; Muridae
Source: RNAcentral
UCAAAAUGAUGAAAAGUCUGACUCAAGGA